RNAcentral lists this ribosomal RNA (497 nucleotides) under uncultured bacterium. Its description in RNAcentral is "partial 16S ribosomal RNA". It matches the Rfam family "Bacterial small subunit ribosomal RNA", at positions 28 to 507 of the family's 1533-position model. The record is from RNAcentral.
GAUGAACGCUGACGGCGUGCCUAAUACAUGCAAGUCGAGCGAACGGACGAGAAGCUUGCUUCUCUGAUGUUAGCGGCGGACGGGUGAGUAACACGUGGAUAACCUACCUAUAAGACUGGGAUAACUUCGGGAAACCGGAUCUAAUACCGGAUAAUAUUUUGAACCGCAUGGUUCAAAAGUGAAAGACGGUCUUGCUGUCACUUAUAGAUGGAUCCGCGCUGCAUUAGCUAGUUGGUAAGGUAACGGCUUACCAAGGCAACGAUGCAUAGCCGACCUGAGAGGGUGAUCGGCCACACUGGAACUGAGACACGGUCCAGACUCCUACGGGAGGCAGCAGUAGGGAAUCUUCCGCAAUGGGCGAAAGCCUGACGGAGCAACGCCGCGUGAGUGAUGAAGGUCUUCGGAUCGUAAAACUCUGUUAUUAGGGAAGAACAUAUGUGUAAGUAACUGUGCACAUCUUGACGGUACCUAAUCAGAAAGCCACGGCUAACUACGUG